RNAcentral lists this transfer RNA (89 nucleotides) under Cordylochernes scorpioides. RNAcentral describes it as "tRNA-Glu". Lineage: Eukaryota; Metazoa; Arthropoda; Arachnida; Pseudoscorpiones; Chernetidae. The record is from RNAcentral.
GCCUAGUUGUUUAAGGGGGUCGGUGGAAGGCUGGUUAAACCGUUUGGUUUUCGACCACUAGGACCCGGGUUCGAUUCCCGCAUUGGACA